This 445-nucleotide ribosomal RNA is filed under the name uncultured bacterium. RNAcentral's name for it is "partial 16S ribosomal RNA". It matches the Rfam family "Bacterial small subunit ribosomal RNA", at positions 354 to 796 of the family's 1533-position model. The record is from RNAcentral.
GUGAGGAAUAUUGGGCAAUGGGCGCAAGCCUGACCCAGCCAUGCCGCGUGAAGGUAGAAGGCCCUAUGGGUUGUAAACUUCUUUUAUACGGGAAGAAACUUCCGAACGUGUUCGGAAUUGACUGUACCGUAGGAAUAAGCAUCGGCUAACUCCGUGCCAGCAGCCGCGGUAAUACGGAGGAUGCAAGCGUUAUCCGGAUUUAUUGGGUUUAAAGGGUGCGUAGGCGGAAUGAUAAGUCAGUGGUGAAAGCCUGCGGCUUAACCGUAGAACUGCCAUUGAUACUGUUGUUCUUGAGUAUAGUUGAGGUGGGCGGAAUGUGUAAUGUAGCGGUGAAAUGCUUAGAUAUUACACAGAACACCGAUUGCGAAGGCAGCUCACUAAGCUGUUACUGACGCUGAGGCACGAAAGCGUGGGGAGCAAACAGGAUUAGAUACCCCGGUAGUCC